AACAAGGUUUCCGUAGGUAGAACCUGCGGAAGGAUCAUUAUUGAAUAAACUUGGUUGGGUUGUUGCUGGCUCUCAGGAGCAUGUGCACGCUCACUCCAUUUUUACCCACCUGUGCACACACUGUAGGCCUGAAUGAAACCUUUUCGGGGAAACUCGGUUUGAGAACUGCUGUCAGUAUCAGCUGUCCUUGCAUUUCAGGUCUAUGUUUUAAACAUAUACUCCAUGACAAGUAACAGAAUGUUAAUUUAUUGGCCCUUUGGUGGUGCCUUUUAAACUUAAUACAACUUUCAACAACGGAUCUCUUGGCUCUCGCAUCGAUGAAGAACGCAGCGAAAUGCGAUAAGUAAUGUGAAUUGCAGAAUUCAGUGAAUCAUCGAAUCUUUGAACGCANCUUGCGCUCCUUGGUAUUCCGAGGAGCAUGCCUGUUUGAGUGUCAUGAAAUUCUCAACCUUUCUGGCUUUUAUGAGCUGGUCAGGCUUGGAUUGUGGGAGUUGCUGGUUUCUUUUGAGAUCAGCUCUUCUAAAUGCAUAGCAGAAUUCUUGCUGGACCAUCUUUGGGAUGAUAAUUAUCUAUGCCAUUGAGAANCACAGCGU
RNAcentral lists this ribosomal RNA (593 nucleotides) under Entoloma alpicola. Its description in RNAcentral is "eukaryotic LSU rRNA". The stretch from base 283 to 436 matches the Rfam family "5.8S ribosomal RNA". Lineage: Eukaryota; Fungi; Basidiomycota; Agaricomycetes; Agaricales; Entolomataceae. The record is from RNAcentral.